This 1685-nucleotide long non-coding RNA is filed under the name Helianthus annuus (common sunflower). RNAcentral's name for it is "hypothetical non coding rna". Lineage: Eukaryota; Viridiplantae; Streptophyta; Magnoliopsida; Asterales; Asteraceae. The record is from RNAcentral.
UUUGGACUGAAGUGGCAUUUUCCACCAAACCAUAGGGACGAAAAUGGCAGUUAACUCUAUAAAUAAUAAUAACAACAUAUAGCACCGGUGGUGUAAGAGAAAUUUGGGUGCAAAAAAAGUAGGCGGGCGUGUUUAUGAUAUUGGGUAGAUGCUAGAUAUGUUCAGUUAGGUGUUAGUUCAUUAGUGCAGGUAGCCCAUUCAUAAGUUUAUUUUUUAAUUCAAUUAAGCUUAAAUGUACAAAAUAAUUAGUUAAUAUAUAAAAAUCACAUAUCUAGAAAAAAAACUAAAAUUUAUACUAAUUUUAUUGUCUGGUCUGAUUUUAGGUAUAAACCGUAAAUCAAACCGAAACCGAAGACUGGUUUUGAGGUUUCAAACCGAACCGUGAACACCCCUAAUUUGUUGUAUCAAAAUUUCUUGACCUUUGUAUUUAACAUUUUAAAUCCAACUUAUUUGAUAAAGAAGCGUAAAAACCGUGAUAGAGUGGGUUUGUGCUCGUGUAUUGCUAGAAUAAGCUGGACAAGAUCAUUGCAGAAACAAUCAUUGUAGGGGUAUGAUUUUUCUUUUUACUCUUAAGUGGAAUGCUCUUGCAACCUAUAGGUUUUAUAUAUGCCUAUAUACAAGAACAAGGGUUUGUUUGCAAACAAAUGUCAAGAUUGGCGUUAGGAAAGUAGAUUGUUUCUUUUUCAUUACUUUGUAGUUCAGCAGCUAUCUAAAUGCCAUUUGUAUUGAUGUUUGAGAUUCGAGAUGGGAUACGGUAAUAGCCCGUUCAAAAUUUGCAACUAUAAUACUUUUGUUAGCGUUGUGGUACAAUACAUUACUUCAUCCCUUUGACAACCCAUAGUGAUUUCCCACAUCAACCAAAUGCCACCCGAGUAAAUGGCUCGACGAGGGUGAUGUACAUGGUACUAUACUCGAUGGUGAUGUUGUAUGCUGUGUUAGGUAGUAGAUAUAUAUAUAUAUAUAUAGAUGAACAAUUAUAAGACUUUGAACACGCCGCCGCAACGCGCGGCGGGUCAAAAACUAGUCUUAUUAUUAUAAGUCAAACAAACACAUCCUCUAUAAGUUAUCAAGAACAUGUAUUCUACUUACAAUCGACUCGAUUUGAUUGUGAGUCAAUCAUAAAAGCAGGUUAGUUACUUCCUAUAUUCUUAUUAUUUGUUUCUACUGUUAUAAGAGUGUGUAGUUUUAUCUUUGUAUACUAAUCAAUUAUUAAAGAAUUGGACUUAUUAGUUAACGAUGGAUCUCUUUACACUUUGAUUAAAGAAUGGAUCUUCUUCUUCUUUAUUCAGUUACCUCAAUCACAUUUUCAAUGAUGUCUGGAGUCUAGAGGCAAAUACUAUCCAUGUAUAUUUUGAUUUUUCUUGAUAAAAAAUUUAUAUUUUAAUCUUCUUAUUGACUUGGGCUAAAUAAAUAGUUGUAUAGGUACAGUUUGAUGAUUUAAAUCACUUCAAUUACUCUAUUACAUACUUGAUAUAAGGAUAACUUGACUUAUGAGGUCAAUUAUAAUGUAGUGAUGCUUUGAAAAGUCCAACACUUUAUUAAAGACUCAAUAUAUCAACAAAUUGACUUCUUGAGUUAAAACAUAGCAUUAUGAUGUCUUAAAAAGUCAACGUGUCUAUUAUAAACUCAAUAUGGGUACAAUUUGACUACUGAAGUCAAACAUAAUGAAUAGAGGAUGUACUUGA